RNAcentral lists this ribosomal RNA (699 nucleotides) under Photobacterium sp. enrichment culture clone AA01. Its description in RNAcentral is "bacterial SSU rRNA". It matches the Rfam family "Bacterial small subunit ribosomal RNA", at positions 90 to 785 of the family's 1533-position model. Lineage: Bacteria; Pseudomonadati; Pseudomonadota; Gammaproteobacteria; Vibrionales; Vibrionaceae. The record is from RNAcentral.
GGCNAGCGGCGGACGGGUGAGUAAUGCCUGGGAAUAUGCCCUGAUGUGGGGGAUAACCAUUGGAAACGAUGGCUAAUACCGCAUAAUCUCUUCGGAGCAAAGAGGGGGACCUUCGGGCCUCUCGCGUCAGGAUUAGCCCAGGUGAGAUUAGCUAGUUGGUGAGGUAAGAGCUCACCAAGGCGACGAUCUCUAGCUGGUCUGAGAGGAUGAUCAGCCACACUGGAACUGAGACACGGUCCAGACUCCUACGGGAGGCAGCAGUGGGGAAUAUUGCACAAUGGGGGAAACCCUGAUGCAGCCAUGCCGCGUGUGUGAAGAAGGCCUUCGGGUUGUAAAGCACUUUCAGUCGUGAGGAAGGCAUAUGCGUUAAUAGCGUAUGUGUUUGACGUUAGCGACAGAAGAAGCACCGGCUAACUCCGUGCCAGCAGCCGCGGUAAUACGGAGGGUGCGAGCGUUAAUCGGAAUUACUGGGCGUAAAGCGCAUGCAGGCGGCUUGUUAAGCCAGAUGUGAAAGCCCGGGGCUCAACCUCGGAAUAGCAUUUGGAACUGGCAGGCUAGAGUCUUGUAGAGGGGGGUAGAAUUUCAGGUGUAGCGGUGAAAUGCGUAGAGAUCUGAAGGAAUACCGGUGGCGAAGGCGGCCCCCUGGACAAAGACUGACGCUCAGAUGCGAAAGCGUGGGGAGCAAACAGGAUUAGAUAC